AGGAGGCUAACCACACCCUCCAAACACAGCACCUGAAGAAGAACGACUGCCACCAUCAGAGACAACACCCGCCCCAUACAAGGCCAAAUCUGAGACGGUACUAACCAUCCUAGGGAUCCCAGGCACCACUACUCAGACCCGCUCAGCACCUGAACGUGAGCCCUACCUACUGUCAGGCCCCAAGAUGUAGCUGUAAUUAAGAGGUCCAGAUGCAAAUCCCAUCAUCCAAGAGAUUUCCUCAAAAUAUGGAAUAAUGUGGAAAGCCUUUUUGAAAUGGCUGGGCAGAUGGCAGCGAGAGGACCUGGGCUGUGCAAGAGGCCAGUGGCUGCGUUCCUCAGCACUCAGGAGGAUUUCAAAGUGCCCAGGACCUGAGCGCCUGGGCCCUUCCAGGAGCUGUUGCCACGUGGAGACCACAAACUUGCUCCUGUGCUCAGAACUGCAGCUAUCUCUUCAUAAGCCCAUGCCCUGGGGCUUGGAGGAUGAAAACUGCUCCCCAAGAUGCCACCUUUAAAAACAGAAUGAAGCAUCUGCUCUGACAGCCUCUGGCUUGUUGGUAGCCUAUCCUAGUGGAAACAAGGAGUUGUUCUAACUUACCUUAGAGCAAAUCCCUGGUUCUCAACCCGACUGUUCAACCCUGGGACACUGAAAGAAAUACAGAGGCCCAGGCCCCACCUGGGCCUGCUCAGCCCAGCUCUCUCAGGUCAGGUCCUUUCAUGAUUCAGGUGAGCAGCCCAGGCUAGGAACUACGGGAAUCGGCUCUCGGAUUAGAAGUGAGGAUCUUCCAUUUUCAGUACGACAACCGGCCAUUUCUACACCAAGCAAGCAGAGGAUUGCUCAGCUUUUGCACUGCUGUCUUCUCAAGAACAAGUCAAGGACCACUGCAACAGCUUGGAACCUGGGCAUGAUUUCCUGGGUGAGGAGCAUUGCUCCCUGAGAGCAGGGUCAGCAGAAAGAGAGGUCCUGGCUCUUUUACUUGGUGACAUCCUGCAGUGAGCACAGCCCUAGUGAAGGACUGGUCCUAACCUUGACUCCCCCUGGUGUAAACACCUUGAAAUAUCCAGAGAAUGGGGCACAUCAGUUAAAUCAGUUGCAUUUAAUGGGCCUUUGCCGGCAGUGAGCUCCUGGGUUUCCCUGCGUCACUUCAGUGCCACCUGCGUGAAUGAAAGGCUGCCAAGUUAGACCUGCCCGUUGAAUUAAACCCGCAAUCUCAUUCUUCUCAAUAGCUGUGUCCUUGUGAUGCUUUGCCCUAUGCAGGCUAACCCUAGGAGCCCAGUAGGAACUCCUGUUUCUGCAAUGCCAAUUUGCCUAGGAGGUUGGGUGUACCAGCAAAAAUCUGUCUUUGAUCGCCAGAUAAUUCAGAUAGGCACAUAUAAUUGUAUAGAAACCAUUUCCUUCUGGCAGUGGAUUGUAGAGGGGAACAUUCUGGCUAAGGAGCUAUGAAACUGUUGGCUGCAGUAUAAAUGAGAUUCCACUCUGAGUUUGUGGUGACAAGCGACCUUUUCUGACCUGUAGCCCAUGCAGCAGUUAUCUCUUAAAUUUGAGCAUUUGACCCAGAAGGUAGUUCUCAUUCCUUCAAAUCCAUGGACUCGUGGUAUACGGGCCUUCACAUUCUGGUUCAGUGCCCUAGCUUUACCCCCAAGAGAGUGAAAACUUCAAGAGUUUGUCAGUGAUUAAAAUACAAGUACGCAUGCAUGCACGCACACAUCUUAUUUUCAGACUCCUAUGACACUGUAAUGCUUCCAAACUGAUGUCGGAAUCUAACUAAAUGAAAAUAUUUGUCAUCUGUCGUGUAGUAGUCAGGAUAGAGUAGGAUAGGAUGUCGUAACAGAACCCCUCAAAACUCAGUGGCUUAAACCUCAAAGCUUUAUUUUUCAAUCACCUUCCAAGUGAGUGGCAGAGAGUUCAUUCUUCAUUGUUACUCAAGAACUGAGGCUGCUGGAGGCACCACCAUCUUGACGUGGAGUAUUUGCCACUGCGUUGGGCUCUCACACCUUCUCAGUGUCAUUCGGGAAGCCACGUUCAUCACUUAUGCUCUCAUCCCACUGGAAAGAACUGCACAGGGGCCCUGGUUGCAGGUGGUCCAUGGAUUUGAAGUUGUGCUGAGGAAGAGAGGAGAGCCGUAUGUGG
Equus asinus (donkey) is the source of this 2127-nucleotide long non-coding RNA. Lineage: Eukaryota; Metazoa; Chordata; Mammalia; Perissodactyla; Equidae. The record is from Ensembl.